ACUGCCUUUUUCCUGAAAUCUUCAUUGAGAAUAUAUUACAACAUUCUAUUCAUUUAAUCCAUUUAUGGAUCUUUGAGUGGACAAAUUAAUCAAAUUUUCAAUGAUGGUUUCUUUUUCUAGAUUUGUGGCCAGAUGUAUUUGGCAUUUAUCUGGAAUUGGACGAAAAUUUCAUAUCACCUUGUCAUGGGAUUCACAAAAUAUUAACCAGGUUGUUGGCUGUUGAUUGUGCUGACUCAUUGACAAUUUUUGGACAAGAUGCGGACAUUUAGGUGCUGAUUUUUGGAAGUAUCGGCAGAGUGAUGUGUGGAGACAAGGUGGUUGGCACAUUCUGGAGCUCCAUCUGGGUGGACGAAUGCUGUCCAAGGUUGUUGGUGUUGAAGCCCGCGGAGAAUAUACUGCCAGGCUCACGACUCAUGAGGUCUCCACCCCACCAUCCACUUCAGUGGGAGUGCUCGAUGGAGUGUUGUCAACUGUUGUCAUGCCCAUUUGUGCCCUGAGUCCUGAGGGUAGUGUGACCGGGUAUAAAACAUCUGAAUUUGAGUUGCAGUCUUCCAUGGUAGAGCAGUGAAGUUGUGAAUGAGAUUAUUGAAGUUAAAGUGGUAGUCCGGUAUUAUGUGGGCAGACAAGUGAAUCAGUACCAAGUGGUUUCAAAACGGUAUCAAAAUGAUCCAAAUGGUGCGACAAACAAACAACAAAUGCUCAACACAAAGAUCAGUGCUACAAGAUCACUAGAUAAUGAUUCAGUGCAUGCUGUAUUGGGAUUCUGUGUUACUCUAGCUUGAGUAGGAUUGCAAAGAUGAAUUUUCAGACUAAAUUUGACAAGUUGCACUUGAUCCAAAGUUUCAAUGAAUCUCCCUACACUUCUGAGUAGAUUCUUGCCCACACCUUCUUCUACCAGAAUUCCCAGUGUUGCUCUGGGCCGGCUAGACUCAGUCGGCGUCUGGGUUGGGCCACAGCAGGGGACUGGGGGCUUGGUGUUUGGGUUCAUCAACCAUGUUCAUUUGAGUCAGGGGUUGGAACAGGGCCUUGAGCACCUUGAUGAAGUGAUUUCCUCUUCUAGGAAAGAGGGGCUGUGCUUUCGCCUAAAAGGGUUGGGUGGGGAGGAAUAGGAGUACGAAUAAUGUGGUGCCUUCCGUGAUUAUGGUCUCUGGGACAUGAGAAGCAUUUCCAAUUGUCACUGGCUAUCCUCUUGCUAUUCCCGAUGGAAUUAGCAAGGUACAAGAGCCCUGAAACUGGGCGUCAUGGCUGGUCACUGGGUCCCUCACCUUGGGUACCGGCUGUUUCUGGCUAUCAGGACUGGAGUCUCGGGGUCAAGAAAGGCAUUCUCAAGACUUAAUCGAGGUCUUCUUGCUAUUCCUGAUGGAAGUAGUGAGGUAGAAGAGCCUCAGAACUGGGUGCCAUGGCUGGUCACUGGGUCCCUCACCUUGGGUACCAGGUGUUCCUGGCUCUAAGGAUCGGCGUCUGGGAGUCGAGCAAGGCCUUCCCAAGCCUUACUUGAGGUCCUCUUGCUAUUCCUGAUUAAAUUAGCAAGAUAGAAGAGCCCUGGAGCCGGGCAUCACUGGCGGUCACCGAGUCCCUCACCUCAGGAACCAUCUAUCUUCUGCGGUCAGGAUUGGUGUCUUGGGGUCGAGAAAGGCCUUCGCAAGCCUUACUUGAGGUCUACCUGCCAUUCCCAAUGGAAUUAGCAGGAUAGAAGAGCCCUGGUACUAGGCAUCACUGGCAGUCACCGAGUUCAACAGCUUGGUCACCAGCUGCCUCCUGCUACCAGGAUUGAUGUCUCGGGGUUGAAAAAGGCCUUUUCAAGCCUCACUCGAGGUCCUCUUGCUCUUCCUGGUCCACUUCGUGAUGUUAUUGGGUCCAGUCAGGUUUUAUCCCAAUACUCAACUUGUCACCACUGGUCGAAUCUGGCAGACUGGCUGCUAGAAGUUGCAUAAGUGGUCAUACAAUACUCUCCUUCCUGCAAGUGUUGUAUCUUGGAGCUUCCAGUGUCUCCUAUCAACUCCAGUUCAUAGAAGGCGCAAUUUGAAGUAGUCAAAUGAGUAGGAGUAGACUCUGGUCACAAGCUCUACUCACUCUCUGGCUGCGUGCUGCUUCCUUCAAUAGUUCUUGACCAACUGUCUGUGCUAGAGUGCUCCUCUCUGCUACUCGGCCAGCCUUCCUUGGUUCUGCUAAGUGGUAAAAGAUGAGGAUGUGCGGCAUAGUUGAGCAGUAGUUCAGUGCCUGCAUCGCUUGUUGUACAACACGAUCUUAUAAUGAGAUUUUUGAGCAUCGUCAAAACUAACUCUAAAAUCAAUUUUCC
Nilaparvata lugens (brown planthopper) is the source of this 2299-nucleotide long non-coding RNA. RefSeq lists it as uncharacterized. NCBI's taxonomy places the organism in Eukaryota, Metazoa, Arthropoda, Insecta, Hemiptera, Delphacidae. The record is from RefSeq and is a predicted model, not a curated record. The transcript is spliced from 3 exons.